GGGUGCGACCAUACCAGCACUAACGCAUCGGAUCCCAUCAGAACUCCGAAGUUAAGCGUGCUUGUGCGAGAGUAGUACUAGGAUGGGUGACCCCCUGGGAAGUCCUCGAGUUGCCCCCC
This 119-nucleotide ribosomal RNA is filed under the name Olea europaea subsp. europaea. Lineage: Eukaryota; Viridiplantae; Streptophyta; Magnoliopsida; Lamiales; Oleaceae. The record is from RNAcentral.